AACCAUGCACUCAUCUGCAUUUUCGACCAGUUGAUGAACUGAGAGAGUAGCGUUGUAAGGCUCAACAACAGUAUCGGAAACCUUGGGAGAUGGAAAGACAGAGAAGGUAAGCAUCAUCCUGUCGGGGUAUUCUUCUCUGAUCUUCGAAAUCAGAAGAGUUCCCAUUCCAGAUCCAGUUCCUCCUCCUAGAGAGUGGCACACCUGAAACCCUUGCAAGCAAUCACAGUUCUCCGCCUCCUUACGGACGACAUCGAGCACGGAAUCAAUAAGUUCAGCGCCUUCAGUGUAAUGACCUUUAGCCCAGUUGUUUCCAGCACCGGAUUGACCAAAAACAAAGUUAUCCGGCCUGAAGAUCUGUCCAUAAAGGCCAGAUCUGAUGCUAUCCAUAGUACCAGGCUCAAGAUCCAUAAGAACA
RNAcentral lists this unclassified non-coding RNA (415 nucleotides) under Hevea brasiliensis (rubber tree). The record is from RNAcentral. Lineage: Eukaryota; Viridiplantae; Streptophyta; Magnoliopsida; Malpighiales; Euphorbiaceae.